Non-coding RNA from Pangasius djambal, 72 nucleotides. The record is from the annotation of a GenBank genome assembly. Lineage: Eukaryota; Metazoa; Chordata; Actinopteri; Siluriformes; Pangasiidae.
UCCCUGGAGGACUAGUGGUUAGGCCACAGCACUCUCAUCACUGAGGCCUGGGUUUGAUUCCCGGCCAGGAAA